UGAGAGCGGCGCACGGGUGCGGAACACGUGUGCAACCUGCCUUUAUCUGGGGGAUAGCCUUUCGAAAGGAAGAUUAAUACCCCAUAAUAUAUUGAGUGGCAUCACUUGAUAUUGAAAACUCCGGUGGAUAGAGAUGGGCACGCGCAAGAUUAGAUAGUUGGUGAGGUAACGGCUCACCAAGUCAAUGAUCUUUAGGGGGCCUGAGAGGGUGAUCCCCCACACUGGUACUGAGACACGGACCAGACUCCUACGGGAGGCAGCAGUGAGGAAUAUUGGACAAUGGGUGAGAGCCUGAUCCAGCCAUCCCGCGUGAAGGACGACUGCCCUAUGGGUUGUAAACUUCUUUUAUACUGGGAUAAACCUACCCUCGUGAGGGUAGCUGAAGGUACAGUAUGAAUAAGCACCGGCUAACUCCGUGCCAGCAGCCGCGGUAAUACGGAGGGUGCAAGCGUUAUCCGGAUUUAUUGGGUUUAAAGGGUCCGUAGGCGGACUCGUAAGUCAGUGGUGAAAUCUCAUAGCUUAACUAUGAAACUGCCAUUGAUACUGCGGGUCUUGAGUAAAGUAGAAGUGGCUGGAAUAAGUAGUGUAGCGGUGAAAUGCAUAGAUAUUACUUAGAACACCAAUUGCGAAGGCAGGUCACUAUGUUUUAACUGACGCUGAUGGACGAAAGCGUGGGGAGCGAACAGGAUUAGAUACCCUGGUAGUCCACGCCGUAAACGAUGCUAACUCGUUUUUGGGUUUUCGGAUUCAGAGACUAAGCGAAAGUGAUAAGUUAGCCACCUGGGGAGUACGUUCGCAAGAAUGAAACUCAAAGGAAUUGACGGGGGCCCGCACAAGCGGUGGAUUAUGUGGUUUAAUUCGAUGAUACGCGAGGAACCUUACCAAGGCUUAAAUGGGAAUUGACAGGUUUAGAAAUAGAUCCUUCUUCGGACAAUUUUCAAGGUGCUGCAUGGUUGUCGUCAGCUCGUGCCGUGAGGUGUUAGGUUAAGUCCUGCAACGAGCGCAACCCCUGUCACUAGUUGCCAUCAUUCAGUUGGGGACUCUAGUGAGACUGCCUACGCAAGUAGAGAGGAAGGUGGGGAUGACGUCAAAUCAUCACGGCCCUUACGCCUUGGGCCACACACGUAAUACAAUGGCCGGUACAGAGGGCAGCUACUAUGCGAAUAGAUGCGAAUCUCGAAAGCCGGUCUCAGUUCGGAUUGGAGUCUG
Molecule: ribosomal RNA, 1209 nt
Filed under: Chryseobacterium aquaticum
Lineage: Bacteria; Pseudomonadati; Bacteroidota; Flavobacteriia; Flavobacteriales; Weeksellaceae
Description: bacterial SSU rRNA
Rfam family: Bacterial small subunit ribosomal RNA
Source: RNAcentral